GACGAACGCUGGCGGCGUGCUUAACACAUGCAAGUGGAGCGACGAACCAGGGCUUGCCCUGGGGCAAAGCCGCGAACGGGUGAGUAACACGUGGGUAACCUGCCCCGAUGACCGGGACAACCCGAGGAAACUCGGGCUAAUACCGGAUGUGGAACUCUCACAUCAGUGAGUUUUCUAAAGGUAGCUUCGGCUUCCGCAUUGGGAUGGGCCCGCGGCCCAUUAGCUUGUUGGUGAGGUAAUGGCUUACCAAGGCUCCGAUGGGUAGCUGGUCUGAGAGGACGAUCAGCCACACUGGAACUGAGACACGGUCCAGACUCCUACGGGAGGCAGCAGUGGGGAAUUUUGCACAAUGGGCGAAAGCCUGAUGCAGCAACGCCGCGUGUGUGAUGAAGGUCUUCGGAUUGUAAAGCACUUUCGACCGGGACGAAACACCCUUGGCUAACAUCCAAGGGCCUGACGGUA
RNAcentral lists this ribosomal RNA (462 nucleotides) under uncultured bacterium. Its description in RNAcentral is "bacterial SSU rRNA". It matches the Rfam family "Bacterial small subunit ribosomal RNA", at positions 28 to 477 of the family's 1533-position model. The record is from RNAcentral.